RNAcentral lists this ribosomal RNA (1054 nucleotides) under Methanosarcina mazei. RNAcentral describes it as "bacterial SSU rRNA". It matches the Rfam family "Archaeal small subunit ribosomal RNA", at positions 248 to 1302 of the family's 1478-position model. The record is from RNAcentral. Lineage: Archaea; Methanobacteriati; Methanobacteriota; Methanomicrobia; Methanosarcinales; Methanosarcinaceae.
ACCUACUAGCCAGCGACGGGUACGGGUUGUGAGAGCAAGAGCCCGGAGAUGGAUUCUGAGACAUGAAUCCAGGCCCUACGGGGCGCAGCAGGCGCGAAAACUUUACAAUGCGGGAAACCGUGAUAAGGGGACACCGAGUGCCAGCAUCAUAUGCUGGCUGUCCGGAUGUGUAAAAUACAUCCGUUAGCAAGGGCCGGGCAAGACCGGUGCCAGCCGCCGCGGUAACACCGGCGGCCCGAGUGGUGAUCGUGAUUAUUGGGUCUAAAGGGUCCGUAGCCGGUUUGGUCAGUCCUCCGGGAAAUCUGAUAGCUCAACUAUUAGGCUUUCGGGGGAUACUGCCAGACUUGGAACCGGGAGAGGUAAGAGGUACUACAGGGGUAGGAGUGAAAUCUUGUAAUCCCUGUGGGACCACCUGUGGCGAAGGCGUCUUACCAGAACGGGUUCGACGGUGAGGGACGAAAGCUGGGGGCACGAACCGGAUUAGAUACCCGGGUAGUCCCAGCCGUAAACGAUGCUCGCUAGGUGUCAGGCAUGGCGCGACCGUGUCUGGUGCCGCAGGGAAGCCGUGAAGCGAGCCACCUGGGAAGUACGGCCGCAAGGCUGAAACUUAAAGGAAUUGGCGGGGGAGCACAACAACGGGUGGAGCCUGCGGUUUAAUUGGACUCAACGCCGGACAACUCACCGGGGGCGACAGCAAUAUGUAGGCCAAGCUGAAGACUUUGCCUGAAUCGCUGAGAGGAGGUGCAUGGCCGUCGCCAGUUCGUACUGUGAAGCAUCCUGUUAAGUCAGGCAACGAGCGAGACCCGUGCCCACUGUUACCAGCAUGUCCUCCGGGACGAUGGGUACUCUGUGGGGACCGCCGAUGUUAAAUCGGAGGAAGGUGCGGGCCACGGUAGGUCAGUAUGCCCCGAAUCUCCCGGGCUACACGCGGGCUACAAUGGAUGGGACAAUGGGUCCCUCCCCUGAAAAGGGCUGGUAAUCUCACAAACCCAUUCGUAGUUCGGAUCGAGGGCUGUAACUCGCCCUCGUGAAGCUGGAAUCCGUAGUAAUCGCG